Molecule: ribosomal RNA, 254 nt
Filed under: uncultured bacterium
Lineage: Bacteria
Description: partial 16S ribosomal RNA
Rfam family: Bacterial small subunit ribosomal RNA
Source: RNAcentral
UACGGGGGGAGCAAGCGUUGUUCGGAUUUACUGGGCGUAAAGGGCGCGUAGGCGGUCAGCACAAGUCAGUUGUGAAAUCUCCGGGCUUAACUCGGAAAGGUCAACUGAUACUGUGCGACUAGAGUGCGGAAGGGGCAACUGGAAUUCUCGGUGUAGCGGUGAAAUGCGUAGAUAUCGAGAGGAACACCUGUGGCGAAGGCGGGUCUCUGGGCCGAUACUGACGCUGAGGAGCGAAAGCGUGGGGAGCGAACAGG